UACGGGGGGAGCAAGCGUUAUCCGGAAUUAUUGGGCGUAAAGAGCUCGUAGGCGGUUUGUCGCGUCUGCCGUGAAAGUCCGGGGCUCAACUCCGGAUCUGCGGUGGGUACGGGCAGACUAGAGUGAUGUAGGGGAGACUGGAAUUCCUGGUGUAGCGGUGAAAUGCGCAGAUAUCAGGAGGAACACCGGUGGCGAAGGCGGUUCUCUGGGCAUGAUCUGACGCUGAGGAGCGAAAGUGUGGGGAGCGAACAGG
Molecule: ribosomal RNA, 253 nt
Filed under: uncultured bacterium
Lineage: Bacteria
Description: partial 16S ribosomal RNA
Rfam family: Bacterial small subunit ribosomal RNA
Source: RNAcentral